This 766-nucleotide ribosomal RNA is filed under the name uncultured bacterium. RNAcentral describes it as "bacterial SSU rRNA". It matches the Rfam family "Bacterial small subunit ribosomal RNA", at positions 36 to 792 of the family's 1533-position model. The record is from RNAcentral.
CUGGCGCCGCUUAUAAUGCAAGUCGAGCGAGAACCAGGGCUUCGGCCCUGGGGACAGCGGCGAACGGGUGAGUAACACGUGGGUAAUCAACCCCCGACACCGGGAUAGCCCGGGGAAACCCGGAUUAAUACCGGAUGCCCCGUCUGGCCUUAGGGCCGGCCGGAAAAGGGUAGCUUUGGCCUCUGGUCGGGGACGAGCCCGCGGCGGAUUAGCUUGUUGGUGAGGUAACGGCUCACCAAGGCGACGAUCCGUAGCUGGUCUGAGAGGACGAUCAGCCACACUGGGACUGAGACACGGCCCAGACUCCUACGGGAGGCAGCAGUAGGGAAUCUUGCGCAAUGGGCGAAAGCCUGACGCAGCGACGCCGCGUGAGGGAAGAAGGCCUUCGGGUUGUAAACCUCUUUCAGGAGGGACGAAGCCACUCGGGUUAAUAGCCUAGAGGGUGACGGUACCUCCAGAAGAAGCCCCGGCUAACUACGUGCCAGCAGCCGCGGUAAUACGUAGGGGGCAAGCGUUGUCCGGAUUUAUUGGGCGUAAAGAGCGUGUAGGCGGCCAAGCAGGUCAGCUGUGAAAACUCGAGGCACAACCUCGAGACGUCGGUUGAAACCGCUUGGCUAGAGUCCGGAAGAGGAGAGUGGAAUUCCCGGUGUAGCGGUGAAAUGCGCAGAUAUCGGGAAGAACACCCGUGGCGAAGGCGGCUCUCUGGGACGGUACUGACGCUGAGACGCGAAAGCGUGGGGAGCGAACAGGAUUAGAUACCCUGGUA